GACGUAGGGCGCGAGCGUUGUCCGGAUUUACUGGGCGUAAAGAGCGCGCAGGCGGUCGUUCAAGUCGCGUGUGAAAGCCCCCCGGCUCAACUGGGGAGGGUCACGCGAUACUGAUCGACUCGAAGGCAGGAGAGGGGUAGUGGAAUUCCCCGGUGUAGUGGUGAAAUGCGUAGAUAUCGGGAGGAACACCAGUGGCGAAGGCGACUACCUGGCCUGUUCUUGACGCUGAGGCGCGAAAGCUAGGGGAGCAAACGGG
This 256-nucleotide ribosomal RNA is filed under the name uncultured bacterium. RNAcentral's name for it is "partial 16S ribosomal RNA". It matches the Rfam family "Bacterial small subunit ribosomal RNA", at positions 524 to 776 of the family's 1533-position model. The record is from RNAcentral.